RNAcentral lists this long non-coding RNA (670 nucleotides) under Brassica rapa (field mustard). Its description in RNAcentral is "long non-coding RNA (BRAP_LNC007491)". The record is from RNAcentral. Lineage: Eukaryota; Viridiplantae; Streptophyta; Magnoliopsida; Brassicales; Brassicaceae.
CCUUAGCUGCGUCUGAAAGUCGAGAGUCGCCUCGUGAACCGCUUUCUCUAUAUCGAAGCUACUCUCUGCCUCAUCCGCCGUUGCACGUUCCGGGUGCAACCGAGCUUCAUCCGCGUACAACUGAGCUUCUUCUUCGAGAAGUGCGGUUACAUCCACCUCCGCGGAUGAUGAGGACGGCUGGCUGUAGCUAUAUUGACCCAUUAUCGUUAACCUCCACCAUAAGAGACAAACAAGCAGCACAGAUUAGCAACGAUCUUCAUAAAAGAGAAAGACACACAAUCAUAUCGACAUAGACACACAAAAUCGAGAAGACACGAAUUGAAUUUCAAUGAAUCCUUUAUCUAACCAAAAUCGAGAAGAAACAAAAUGAACAAAGCGAAAGAAACGAUAUAAACCAAAACCCCUCUUUCGUUUUAUACCAAAAUCGAUCCCAUGCCCAAAUUUUAAAACGGAAAAUCCCAAAAUCGAAAAAAAAAACCCUUGAUUGACAGGAAAAGAAGAAACAGCGACUCUAGAUCGAUGAAAAUAGCAGACAAGCCUUCGAUUUACCUUCAGGAUGCGAGGGAGACCAAUCGCGAUGGUGGGUUUACGAAAUCGCCGUCGAGAGUCGAGAGCGUCGAGAGAAAUUUUUUUUUUCUUUCCGUCGGUCGAAUGACCUAAUUUUUCUCAA